GGGUGGGGGAAAAGGAAUCAGAGAAGAGGGUCUCUUUGUCUGUCCAUGAUUUUUUAUCCCGUCGUCUCCGGGAUGGAAAUCAAAGACAGCAGUAUUUUUUUCUCUGCUUUGCGUGUUUUGACGAGAGAGAGAGAGAUAGAGAGAGAGAGAGAGGAGAGAGAGCGAGAGAGAGAGAGAGAAACACCUUGCUGUUCUGCUGUCAUUUUCCGAGAUAUACUCUCGAGGAACACCACACCCAAACCCCCUUUCCACCCUUUCUGGAUUUCAUUUUUUAAGUUUUCCUUUGCUUCUCAACUCACAUACGAGUCUACCUCUCUCCUCUCUCUCUCCUUCUCCUCCCCUCUCCCUCUCUCUCUCUGAAGCAUGUCUGUUGGUUGAAGAAGAUAUAGGAGUCUAGCUAGCUCUUCCUUUACUUCACUCUUUUGGUCUACAAACCAUAUGCAUAUGCAGUGAAGUCUCCUUUUUCCUGUCAUUCCCUUAAUUCUUCUAUUCACCCUAAAUCUCUGAAAACCCUUUCGCCCAAAGGUUUGCACUAACAAAAGAAAUUAAACAAAGCCCCUCAUUUCCCAAGAAAUCGAGAAAAAAUGCCCCUUGAGGGGGCUUUCGUUGAGGCAUCUUCAACCCCAACGCCAGUUCCAGAUCUUUCUCUUCACAUUAGUCCUCCCAACGGCUCAUCCACUGCCUCCUCAAUUCCCUACAGCAGCAACCAAGGGGAUCCCCCAGGCUGCUUCGAUCUUGCGUCCCACAAAUCGAACACCGAGAGUCCUUACCCUGAGCUCUCUCUAGCACAUCCCGCAAACAACAUCACUGGUGCCGAAGAAACCCGAGGCCGAUGCAGGAGAAUUACUUUCACCAGCGAUCACCAAACUAGUACACAUCACCACAACCACCAUCAUCAUCUCCGCCACGCUAAUAACCACGGGGUUUCGGCGCCCGAAGUAACCGACGGUCUGCGGCCAAUCAAAGGGAUUCCGGUGUAUCACAACCGUCCAUUCCCUUUCUUGCCUCUGGAUCAAUAUUCCUCAAGCAGGGAGAAGGAUCCCAAGAUGUGUUUCUACCAAAUGCCUUACCCUUCUAAUUCCUCUUUUUGUCCUUCGUCGGGCACACUUCAUCACCCAUCUUCUUCCCAUCACUACGGUCACGGCGGAGGUUUGGAUCCCAUUAGCCCAAUCUUAAACACGGGGCCGAACGCAUCGAAUUUGUCAUCCUAUAAUUAUAGGAAUAUCGCGACGAGGUUGAAUGGGGUUUCGCCCGAUGCUUUCAAAUCACAACAAGUACUACACCACCACCAUCAUCAUAAUCAUCAUCAGUUAGGAGCGGGGGCUUCCGAGGUCUCUUCGCCGCACGGGAUGAUGAGAUCGAGAUUCAUGCCAAAGCUCCCGGCGAAGAGGAGUAUGAGAGCUCCGAGAAUGCGGUGGACGAGUACACUUCAUGCCCGAUUCGUUCACGCUGUUGAGCUCCUUGGCGGCCAUGAAAGAGCGACUCCAAAGUCAGUUCUUGAGCUCAUGGAUGUCAAGGAUCUCACUCUAGCUCAUGUGAAGAGCCAUUUACAGAUGUAUAGAACUGUUAAAACCACUGACAAGCCUGCAGCUUCCUCAGAUGGAUCUGGAGAAGAAGAUAUGUCACCGAUAGGAAGCGCAACCGAGCACAGCAUUCGCCGAUUCGCCGAUCAAAGAGGGGCAUCAGAUGGGUCUAUGCAACAAGAAAUGGACUACAAUUCUACAACCACAACUUUGUGGAGUAAUUCUUCCAGCAGUACUAGAGAAGGGUGGCAGCAAACUAAUAACACCAGCGAUAUAGAUGGGCUGAGGCCAGCUUCCUUCCUCUCACACCACAGAUUACCACAUCAAACGGAGGAAUGCGAUUCCCGUCAGCUGAAGAGCUAUCUAGGAACUAAUAUGGAUUGCAAGAACCCGAGCUUGGAGUUCACAUUGGGCAGACCCGACUGGCAUGGUAAAGAGGACGACUAGCUAGCUAGCUAAUUUGCUAAAAAUUGAUCUCGAUAUGAAUCUAUGUGCAUGCCUCUGUGGUGGUUUGCAUCUUCACAACUGAGAUGAAGGAAGGCUGAGUUAUAUGUGGACUAAAGAAGUAAUGUUGGAGAAGAGCAGCCAGUUAUGAUUUGUACUAGUUUUAUGCAUACAUAUUAACUAAGCUCAUUUCACCUAUCAAAUUUGAGAAUGAAAAAAUUUUCAUGUCUCAUUUUGUACCUUUUUUUUUAUUUUUUUGGCCUAUAAUGAUUCAUUUUGUAUUGGGUUUUGAGAGCGGCCAAGAGUUGUGACUUUAAAGCUACAAUCGGAUGUGGUUGCGAUGAGAGGAAAACUUGAAAGCAAAGGAUGAGGAAAUGAAGGAAAGGAAUCAGACGUUCGCUAAUGUUGAAUUCUGGUGUCUUAAGUAAUAAUACAAUACACAAAAGAAUGCGCCCAACAGCAACCAGCCAAUCAAGGAUUCAGUAAAGCCAAGACGUAGCCCAAAAGUAGCCGGCAAGCCCACAGUAGAAACAAAUAUUGGUUUGGCCGAUUUCGAUCAGAUGAAGCCCAUUCACUUUCGCAAGGUCAAGUCAAGCUCUACGCCAGCAGAAACUUUCAAACCCCAAAAAAGACAGAACAGCUGCUCCAAUUUACAAGUACAGGUAGCCAACAAAACCAGGGAGGAUCCAGUGGCUAUAAAAGAAAGAGUGGGAGUACCAUUGCUCACUUGGGCUCGAUCGGGUUUGACUCCAAUUAAGGCGGAAAAUUUGAGCAACCUUUGUGAAUGCAGAUUAGCGGUUGAUUUCAGCAAAUCACAAAUAUGAUUUGAGGAUUGAGAAUAAUAAUGAAAACAAUGAGUUGAUUGAUAAAGCCUUAUUUUCAGUGAAAACUUGGAAUUGGACUCGGCUGACCAAAUGGAGGAUUUAGCUAAGCUGUUUUAUCAAAUAAUACAGAGCAGGAAGGGAGAGUCUUUAUCCACAAUUCAUCCAUGAAUUUAGAGAUCAUAUCUUGGAACGUUAGAGGUCUAAAUGGUGUUGAAAAAAAGAAUAUAGUUGUAUGCUGGAGAUAUGGAAUCCGGACAUUGUAUGCUUACAGGAAACAAAGGUAAAUAAGCUAAAUAAUUUCUAGACAAGGAGUGUUUGGAAAGAGAAAUUUUGUAGAAAUUCAGAAUGUAAAAUAACAUAGGAAGAGAAAUAUAUAUCUUGUAUUUCUCCAUAUGAAUAUUACAAUAUACUGUAAAGGUAUUUAUACACAUAUAUAGAUUUACAGACAAAUUGCUUAAAUCAAA
Molecule: RNA transcript, 3255 nt
Organism: Malania oleifera
Lineage: Eukaryota; Viridiplantae; Streptophyta; Magnoliopsida; Santalales; Ximeniaceae
Gene name: transcription repressor KAN1
Exons: 7
Source: RefSeq, a predicted model, not a curated record